Molecule: non-coding RNA, 217 nt
Organism: Clostridia bacterium BRH_c25
Lineage: Bacteria; Bacillati; Bacillota; Clostridia
Source: Rfam
AGAAUCCUGCCUGAUAAGACUAAACCAAGUCAUCAGUAGCGAGUCAUGGAUAGGUGAGAGUAAUCUUGCAUAUUAAGCGUUGACAGUUAGGUAGUAGGCUUGAAAGUGAUUGAGCCCCGUUAGUCCCAAAUAGAAAGGUCGAUGAUUUCAGCGGUCCAGAAGACAAUAUCACAUUGAGCGUUAAUAGGUUAGGUGCCAGUUAAGCCUCGGGAGAACC